AGUCCCGAAGUGAUGGACCAACGAGUAAGAGGCAAGAUAACUGAAAGCCUCUGUCCCCACUGUCUUCUGAGAGCUGUGGUUUGACCAGGCAGCCCCCUAUGCCUCUUCCAGACCCAGGCUUCUCUCUGCUUCUGCAGUUUCUCCAGGACUCUUCAUGUUCUCCCUCAUUGACAAAGGGCAGUGGAUUUCUGGAAAUCUAUUUUCAGUAGACUUCAGUAACUCAAUUUUACCUAUCCACACUGUGUGGUAUAGUAUCAUCAUGUAAAAAUCAGAAGCAUCAAAAAUCAGACAAACCUGGACUCACUCCUCAAUUCUUUUACCAGAGUUGCAGGUGAGUGUGGUGGAACAGUAGUGAGGAGGAGUUGUUGGGAAGAGAGGAAGGUGAAUGAAAAAGUGAUUAUUUUAUAAAAUUUCAGAGCUAAAAAAAUAAGAAGACAGCCUACGUCAUUAUGAUUUGCAAGUUAUUCUAGACAUCAUGAAAGCAAGACAUAUUGCUUCCAGCUUUCUUGUCUUAGUAGAUCAACACCCCUUCAAAAGCAUACAUUCAUCAGAAGAAGAACACUUAGACUGAUGCAGCUCAGAAUUAUUCCAUAAGUUCAAGAACCAAGGAAGAAGCAAUAAAAUAGAAUCAAAGGUGUUUGGCUGUAGACAAAAUGGAUUAUUGAAAAAAAAGAAAAAAGAAGAAAAAGAAAAUAAAAGAAAGAAAAAAGAAAAGAAAAGGAUAAGGGAGCCCAGCAGCCCUCACACGUACUUGCUCUCGGACAAGCUUUGUCAAAUGCUCCACUUUAGAAGGGAAUGCUAGUUAGCAUUCCUGGGAGAAGUGAGUCUCUAUGGCUUGCCCUUUUGAAACUGGUUUCCAAACAAAAUGCAUACUCAUGAAUAUUUAUUGAUCAUAAAAGUUUGGCAGAUUAGAGCAGAAGAAGGGUAGCAUGAGGAGUACCAACUCUUAAACCUGAGGACUCAUGUCUGCACUACACCUUAUACAACAGUGUCUGUGAAAUGGUUAAAGAGUAAAAACCCAAUCUGUUGCAGCCAGAAAGGAGUACUCCGCCUAUUACACAGCAAGGCCAAUAGAUUGCUUGUUAUUUUAAGUGUUAUUUAAAUUAUCUCCCUAGGGAAGAUAAUUUUCAGCUGCCUCUCCAUCUUCUUAAAGAAGAGCAGAAUUUAACACAUCUCGUUGCCAAUGCAUUGUGAAAAACAAAGACACUGAAGCAAUGGUCAGAAAGAAAAGGAAUAAAGACAAAGUCAAGGAAAGAGCUAUACAAGCACAGUUAGCAUAAGAUAGUUGUUCUCAAUGUAGGCUAUCCAGAACAGCACUGUCAACCUCACCGCGGAACUUGAAAGAAGUGCAAAUCCUUGAGACUGACUCCAAGUCUACUGAAUCAGAAAUUCUGGGGGUGGAGUCCAUCAAUCUUUAGUUGAACAAAACACAACCAAUCCCACAUUUAUGGAAGUUUCAUAUAUGAAGUCAUAAAAGUCACUAGAAAGGCACCUACAAUGACAAAUUGUAAAUAGCCACGUCCAAUAAGUUUAUGUGUAACCUUACCUGACUUUUCCAUGGAACUCCAUUGUAUAACUGGAAGCAUUUCUCCAUAAGCGGAAAAAAAAUGGAACCAGAAGAGAAACAAAGCACAUUUGAGCAUACAAUAAAUAAUGAUAUGAAAUGAACAAGUUGAUCUGGUCUCGAGGGAGGAGGAGGCACAGGAACACAGUAAAGGAACCUAUCUGAGGAGCUGCAGACAUGAACCAACAAAGCCAGAAGAGCCUGAAGCAAUACUGCAAGUGGGUGCUUUGGUACUGCUUUGAAGCAUCUUUCCAGACUCUGCAGUAGCCAAGGCCUGUGACUCCAGUCCCUGAGAAAGUACCAUCAGGAGCAAUACGAGUCCUGUCCAUCUCUGAAAACAUGCUGCUGAUGUUGGAUUAAUAGUUAGACAAACAACUAAGAAGAUCAGAAGUAACAUGCUCCUUGGGUGUUGCAAAAUGACUGGACGCUACCUGUCAUCAAACCAUAGUUUUCUCUCCACUUCAACAUAAAUCAAUAGCCUGCUUUUACCUCAAUGAUCAGUUGCUGCAGGGGAAAAAAGUAAGCUUCAAUUUAGACGCUGUCAAAUAUAUGGCCAACUUGCCACCUCUCUCUUCUCCUUGUUCCUGGAACAUGUUGCUAAUUGCUAUGGUGUUCCUGCCACACUCUGAUGUGAUUAUGGAAUCAGCCUCAGCACAAUGCUAUAGGCAGCCACUAAUAAGGGAUUGGAGUGGGGAGGCUGAUUGAAAUUGUUCCCCAAGACAGUAAGCAUAAUAUGUUCUCAUCUGCUUUGAUAGACUCUAAAUUGUAUACACAGUGUGGAUUUUGUGAUACUCAAUAAAAAGCUUCUAGGAAAGAGUCCU
Pan troglodytes (chimpanzee) is the source of this 2385-nucleotide long non-coding RNA. RefSeq lists it as uncharacterized. Lineage: Eukaryota; Metazoa; Chordata; Mammalia; Primates; Hominidae. The transcript is spliced from 12 exons. The record is from RefSeq and is a predicted model, not a curated record.